UCCAUGUCCUACGUUCAGCACAGGGCCUGCCUGGCAUGCAGCGCACAAUAAUGACAGUAUUGCCCCCAGGUAGGUCCCCCUCAGUGAUGCAAGAUGGCUGCCAAGAUCCAGGCAUCACAGCAUGUCCAGACAUGGCAGCAUCCAGAAGAAGAAGAGAAGCAGAGGGAUAAUCUCUUCCUGUCUCCUUCUAAGGACUAAAGAUUUCUUUCCUGGAAGGAUCCUCAGCGGAUGGUUCCCGUCAUGUCUCUAGCCAGAGUUGGCUCUUCUGGCCAUUCCUGCCCCAUGGCUAGUGAGGGCAACAGGAUGAUCACGUCCAUGUAUGGCAAUCCUUCACAGUUGAGUGGAGGUCAGUGUAUCAACACGCUCAACUUCUUUCAGAUCAAAAUAGAAAGGUCUCAGCAUCUGCUGGUUUUCUCUGUGAUGAUGGCAUUUUCUUCCCUUUACCCAUCUCAGAUACUCUAGAGAGAGAGCCAAAUACAGGUGAGAGGCCCGGGCUUUCUUCUCCCCAGAGGCGACCACCAUUUUAAUGCACAUACAAAGGACCGUGAAUGCACGGGCUGCCAGAAGCAGGCCCACCUUGCCAGAAGGGAGUGCUUUGACAAAACCAGGGGACGCACAGCACAUUCAGCUUUCCGCUCCCAAACGAACCGCCCAAAGGGUGCCAAAAAAUGCUUUUAGCACCAUUUAGCGCUAAAAAUAUAGUAUUGCGUAUAGGUUUUUUUUUUUCCUCCAGAAUUCCUAAGUUUGGGCAAAAAUUAACUCUCUGUGUCUGCAUCUUCCUGUUCUCUGUGCAGUCUGGAAAUGUUACAUUUCAAGGUCCGAUGGACUGGCUAGAAGAAAGCCUAGGACCCGGGACAUCCAGGAUGGGCGGCAAAGGUCUAGGGUCAGCUAAUCCAGGCUGGGCUCAGCUGGGAGUGACUGUGUCUCUCACCCUCCUUCCAGGACCCACAGGCCAGGAAAAACAACUUGUGUGGGCCAAAGAAACCUGCCCUCAGACCACCGUUUUUCGAUCUUCUCUCAAUUUCAUCAAUGGCAAUGUUCAGUGUGUGUAUCUCCACAUUCCCUUCCGAUCACCCUGGCAGACAUUGCUAAUUGCUCCUAGCACUCCUUCCCCUCGUUCCCACUCCACUCCAGCAGGACUUCAUCCAGUGUUCUGGGAAGCCACAGCCAGUCAUCUGGUGUUGACAGAGGAGCCCUUCGUUUUAGAGGUGGAGAAGGACUGGUUUUAGCUCACCCGUAGCCAAAGAUGUGAACGUGUUAGCUUUUCUCUGGCCACUUGCCCGGGAUGGACACAGAUAGAAGCUAAAAGCUGCUGUGUAUGCUUGGAGGUUUUUUACCCUCGUUCAAAAUUAUAGGUUUGGAGCUGAAGCAUCUUAAAAUGCGGAAGGCACAGGCAAUGGCUGCAGCCCCAGCGGCCCGCCCCUACUCCCCACAGGCCCCAGAGGCAGUGG
Neofelis nebulosa (Clouded leopard) is the source of this 1451-nucleotide long non-coding RNA. RefSeq lists it as uncharacterized. The record is from RefSeq and is a predicted model, not a curated record. Lineage: Eukaryota; Metazoa; Chordata; Mammalia; Carnivora; Felidae. The transcript is spliced from 3 exons.